This 552-nucleotide ribosomal RNA is filed under the name Triticum aestivum (bread wheat). RNAcentral describes it as "partial small subunit ribosomal RNA". Lineage: Eukaryota; Viridiplantae; Streptophyta; Magnoliopsida; Poales; Poaceae. The record is from RNAcentral.
AUGGUUGGAUCGGAGGAAUUCGCGGCGCAGAUGGUCGACGCCCUUACACAGCGAAGGGGGAUCGUUGCUCAGGUGCUGACCAAGGAUGAGCUGAGGGAGUUCUGGGAGCAGCUAUCAGAUUCAGGUCCAUCUUGCAAAGAUUUGGUACUUGUCCAUCUUGCAAACAGAAGAAACAGAGGAUGCUUAUCAGGUCCAUCUUGCAAAGAUGCCUCAGACCCAGCAAAAGAUGAACAAAGAUUUGGUUUCAUUGCAAGUUUUGGACAGCAUUCAAGCUUAUCAGGUCAGUUAGUUUCUUCAUUUAUUAUUAUUGGCCUGCCAACUGCUUCCAUUAUCCUUCUGAACACAACCUUUGCAGGGACGCACGGAAUUUCUCUUCUUUCUCUUUCUCUGCUUCGAAGGUGGUGCCGCUUGGAGGGUACUGCUGCUUGGAGGAUGCUGCUGCUCUUCUUUCCCUUUAUCUGCUUCUUUCCCUUUCUUUGCUUGGAGGGUGCUGUUGCUCUUCUUUCUCUUUAUCUGCUUCGAAGGUGGUGGUGCUGCUGCUGCUGCUUGUAG